This 224-nucleotide ribosomal RNA is filed under the name uncultured bacterium. RNAcentral describes it as "partial 16S ribosomal RNA". It matches the Rfam family "Bacterial small subunit ribosomal RNA", at positions 1071 to 1295 of the family's 1533-position model. The record is from RNAcentral.
AAUGUGGGUUAAAUUCCCAAAAGGGGCACACCCUUUUCUUUUUUGUUCCCACCAUUAAGUGGGGCAUUUUAAGGGAACUCCCGGGGAAAACCGGGGAGAAGGGUGGGGAUGAGUAAAUUUCCUUUGGCCCUUUACCCCGGGGGCUACACACGUGUUAAAAUGGCGGUGACAAUGGGAGGCAAAGGGGAAAGCGGGGGCAAAUCUCAAAAAGCGGUCUCAGUUCG